This 81-nucleotide transfer RNA is filed under the name Cubamyces sp. BRFM 1775. RNAcentral's name for it is "Leiotrametes sp. BRFM 1775 tRNA-Asp". It matches the Rfam family "tRNA". From Rfam's summary of the family: Transfer RNA (tRNA) molecules are approximately 80 nucleotides in length. Their secondary structure includes four short double-helical elements and three loops (D, anti-codon, and T loops). The record is from RNAcentral. Lineage: Eukaryota; Fungi; Basidiomycota; Agaricomycetes; Polyporales; Polyporaceae.
UCUCUGUUAGUAUAUCGGUUAGUACACGCGCCUGUCAUGCAUUGACCGCGCGAAAGCGGGGUUCGACUCCCCGACAGAGAG